Agrilus planipennis (emerald ash borer) is the source of this 197-nucleotide non-coding RNA. The record is from Rfam. NCBI's taxonomy places the organism in Eukaryota, Metazoa, Arthropoda, Insecta, Coleoptera, Buprestidae.
AGAUUACUGUUCAAAAUAGUUAAGGAUGUGGAUUGCUCUAGUUUUAGCGGCUGAAGAGGACCCUAGUUGGUCCUAGAACGGCCUGAGGUAGAGGGGUUUUAGUCGGUAUGUCCGAGGAUUUCUUCGUCGGGAAUCCGACACUACCCAGUCGUACGAACGGCUGGGUGUCUUUUGAAGAUUUCCCCUCUUCCACGAAA